AUUGAACGCUGGCGGCAUGCUUUACACAUGCAAGUCGAACGGCAGCACGGGUGCUUGCACCUGGUGGCGAGUGGCGGACGGGUGAGUAAUACAUCGGAACGUGUCCUGAAGUGGGGGAUAACGCAUCGAAAGAUGUGCUAAUACCGCAUAUACUCUGAGGAGGAAAGUAGGGGAUCGAAAGACCUUAUGCUUUUGGAGCGGCCGAUGUCUGAUUAGCUAGUUGGUAAGGUAAUGGCUUACCAAGGCGACGAUCAGUAGUUGGUCUGAGAGGACGGCCAGCCACACUGGGACUGAGACACGGCCCAGACUCCUACGGGAGGCAGCAGUGGGGAAUCUUGCGCAAUGGGGGCAACCCUGACGCAGCCAUGCCGCGUGAAUGAUGAAGGCCUUAGGGUUGUAAAGUUUUUUGUCCCGUGACGAUGAUGACGGUAACGGGAGAAUAAGCUCCGG
This 450-nucleotide ribosomal RNA is filed under the name uncultured bacterium. RNAcentral describes it as "bacterial SSU rRNA". It matches the Rfam family "Bacterial small subunit ribosomal RNA", at positions 30 to 496 of the family's 1533-position model. The record is from RNAcentral.